Molecule: ribosomal RNA, 253 nt
Filed under: uncultured bacterium
Lineage: Bacteria
Description: partial 16S ribosomal RNA
Rfam family: Bacterial small subunit ribosomal RNA
Source: RNAcentral
UACAGAGGGUGCGAGCGUUGUCCGGAAUCACUGGGCGUAAAGGGCGCGUAGGCGGCUCGGUCAGCGUGCGGUGAAAGCCCGGGGCUCAACCCCGGGUCGGCCGUGCGAACUGCUGGGCUGGAGCACUGUAGAGGCAGGUGGAAUUCCGGGUGUAGCGGUGGAAUGCGUAGAGAUCCGGAAGAACACCGGUGGCGAAGGCGGUUCUCUGGGCCUGACCUGACGCUGAGGAGCGAAAGCGUGGGGAGCGAACAGG